GCCGAUGUAGCUCAGUCGGUAGAGCGUGGGACUCUUAAUCCCACGGUCGCGGGUUCGAGCCCCGUCGUCGGUA
This 73-nucleotide transfer RNA is filed under the name Giardia muris. It matches the Rfam family "tRNA". From Rfam's summary of the family: Transfer RNA (tRNA) molecules are approximately 80 nucleotides in length. Their secondary structure includes four short double-helical elements and three loops (D, anti-codon, and T loops). The record is from Rfam by way of RNAcentral. Lineage: Eukaryota; Fornicata; Diplomonadida; Hexamitidae.